GCCCGCGUGGUGGAAUGGUAGACACAGGGGACUUAAAAUCCCCAGCCCCUGGUGGCGUGCGAGUUCGAGUCUCGCCGCGGGCACCA
This 86-nucleotide transfer RNA is filed under the name Thetidibacter halocola. RNAcentral's name for it is "tRNA-Leu". It matches the Rfam family "tRNA". Rfam says of the family: Transfer RNA (tRNA) molecules are approximately 80 nucleotides in length. Their secondary structure includes four short double-helical elements and three loops (D, anti-codon, and T loops). Further hydrogen bonds mediate the characteristic L-shaped molecular structure. tRNAs have two regions of fundamental functional importance: the anti-codon, which is responsible for specific mRNA codon recognition, and the 3' end, to which the tRNAs corresponding amino acid is attached (by aminoacyl-tRNA synthetases). tRNAs cope with the degeneracy of the genetic code in two manners: having more than one tRNA (with a specific anti-codon) for a particular amino acid; and 'wobble' base-pairing, i.e. permitting non-standard base-pairing at the 3rd anti-codon position. Lineage: Bacteria; Pseudomonadati; Pseudomonadota; Alphaproteobacteria; Rhodobacterales; Roseobacteraceae. The record is from RNAcentral.